This 23-nucleotide non-coding RNA is filed under the name Cricetulus griseus (Chinese hamster). Lineage: Eukaryota; Metazoa; Chordata; Mammalia; Rodentia; Cricetidae. The record is from RNAcentral.
CAGCAGAAAAGUCGUUGAUGUUG